CCCUAGUAACGGCGAGUGAAGAGGGAAGAGCUCAAAGUUAAAACCUGCUAGGUUUGCCUAGCCGGAUUGUAAACUAGAGAGGCAGCUUCCAGGCACGCCGUAUGAUAAAGUCCUUUGGAAUAAGGCACCAUAGAGGGUGAUAGUCCCGUACAUCAUGCGAGUAGUGUCUUUGUGUUGCGCUUCCAACGAGUCAGGUUGUUUGGUAUUGCAGCCUAAAGUGGGUGGUAAACCGCAUCUAAAGCUAAAUAUUGGCGAGAGACCGAUAGCGAACAAGUACCGUGAGGGAAAGAUGAAAAGAACUUUGAAAAGAGAGUUAAACAGUAUGUGAAAUUGCUAGAAGGGAAGCGUUUGAAGUCAGAUUGGCUAGUGUAUUAAUGUCUGGAACCUUGGUUCUCGGACUUGUGGUAUACAAGCUUGCCAACGGCAGUUUGAGGCUGUGGAUAAUAGUGGGAAAAAUGUGUGGCCUAAUCCUCGGAUUAGGGUGUUAUAGUUUCCUGCACGAUACAUGGUCUUAGACUGAGGGAAGGCUGCAAAUAUUCAACCUUGUGAAAUGCAGGGGUUACUUUGCAUAGGUCGUUGGCUUAAAUUGACUUUAAAGGCCCGUCUUGAAACACGGACCAAGGAGUCCACCAUAGCUGCGAGUAUUUGGGCCGGGUAAACCCAUGAUGCGCAAUGAAAGUAAUGGCUACGGAUACAGUAGCAUCCGGGCAUGGACGUUUUAACUGAAAUGACCGAGAUUGAGCAGGCUAUGAUGGGACCCGAAAGAUGGGUGAACUAUGCUUGAGCAGAGUUAAAAGUCAGAGGAAACUCUGAUGGAAGCUCGCAGCGAUUCUUGACGUGGCAAAUCGAUCGUCAAACUUUGAGCAUAGG
RNAcentral lists this ribosomal RNA (870 nucleotides) under Protomycocladus faisalabadensis. RNAcentral describes it as "LSU rRNA". It matches the Rfam family "Eukaryotic large subunit ribosomal RNA", at positions 78 to 921 of the family's 3401-position model. Lineage: Eukaryota; Fungi; Mucoromycota; Mucoromycetes; Mucorales; Syncephalastraceae. The record is from RNAcentral.